ACCGUCAUAAGUUACAAAAAUACCGCGAUACACAUAUUUGGCCAUACCGUCGAGGCUUAGUAUACAUUGUUUCACUGGGUAGAGACGUACAGUAUGCUCUCCUAUGCAGCAGGGUGAAGCAGAAGAAUACCGCUUGGUAUGUGCUUUAUACAAUGGCAGUCUAGAGGAUACCCUUUACAGCCGGCCAGGCACACCUCAGGCCAAAUUAUUCAUGCAAAUGGUACUCUACUCACGGUACAUGUAACCCAACCACAAGUGUAGGUUAGCUGAAAGAGUUAACCUAAUUUGUGGGAGGAGUCUGGUCUUUAGAUACUCACCUGAUAAUUUCUUUUGAAGUGCACAGUACAAUUAUGGACCGUGUUGCGCCACUUUGUAUUUUUUUUUCAAAGGGGAGGACUAUAAAAAACUAAAAAGGCACAAUCUAAAAAGAAGCAUGUAGUGGAAGAUUCCACAUCAUCCUCCUCUGAGGAAAAAUCCAAAAGUGCCAACCAUUCAAGUAGCCCAAGUUCUGAAGAGGAUAUCAUUUCACAUGAGGAAUCCGAGGAGGAAAGUGUCCCUCAAGUGGCGGCCCCUCGGGACUCCCAGGAUAGGCCUUCCAAAGAGCCUGAACCACGUCCCGCCCCUCAGCCAAUCAAAGGAAGCGGCCUCAUGAUUCGUGGCAGAGGACGUGGUCGUGGUGGUGCUUGGACAUUCCAGUGUGAAGAGGGAAAACUUACGAGUAGACUCUGCUGCCGCCCUCCCCCCACUCCUCCAAACCGCCCCCCUAUCAACUCCCCUUACUUGACCAUGUCCCCUGCCCAAAGUAGCAUCCACUCCCGUUCCCCUUCCCGUCACCACUCCCGUUCCCCUUCCCAUCACCACUCCUGUUCCCACUUCCGUCACCAGUCCCGUUCCCGCUCCCGUUACCACUCCCGUUUCCCUUCCCUUUCCACUCCCCAUUCAUACGGCCAUCACCUUUCCUCUCCCUGUUAUCCCCAGUCCAUUUCCCACACCCUGCCCCACUCCCUGGGACAUUCCCAGCAUUUGGGCCAGUUAUCCACCCCUUCUAGUAGCAUGGUUUCUAGUAGCAUUGUGCAAAUGCUGUCCCAGGGAGAACCUUCUUCCCAUUCCACCCCUUCCUUCACACCUCCCAAUUUCCCUCUGCUCCCUAUUAUUCCCACACUUUUCCCAGUCCCAUUUCUACUCCAUGGAAACCCCUAUUCCCAGAUUCUACUCACAAAGUAGAAUCGACUCCUUGCAGCUCCGGAGGACCCCAGCUCCCAAGACCCUACCCAUGUCCCCCUUACCCAGCUGUCCUUAACGGACUUAUAGGGCUUAAAGCCCCCAAAAAAUACAAAACAACUGUACAUAGUUAAUUUAUGUUUACAAAAAAAAUAAUAAUCUGAAUUAAAAUAUUUUUUUCU
This is an RNA transcript of Hyla sarda, 1403 nucleotides long. It is a transcript of the gene named serine/arginine repetitive matrix protein 4-like, with no coding region annotated. The transcript has 6 exons. NCBI's taxonomy places the organism in Eukaryota, Metazoa, Chordata, Amphibia, Anura, Hylidae. The record is from RefSeq and is a predicted model, not a curated record.